UUGUAUCACAACUUUCGGCAAGUGCAUGCUAAAACAAAGUUUAGUGGAAAAAGUUAACACUAUUUUCAAAUCGAAUCAGGUUAGGUGUCAUGAUGAGAUGAUGUUUAUCAUAACUGCGAAAAUAUGCUCACCUGUGUCUGGUUUUUAUUAUGUUAUUUUAUUUUUAAGUUAAUUAUCGGUAUGGGAUUUAUUAUUUUACAUAUUAAUAUGUAUGUUAACUGAUCGCAUUGUUGAAAUAUAAUAAUAAAUGAUUGAUGUC
This 259-nucleotide long non-coding RNA is filed under the name Phaseolus vulgaris (common bean). RNAcentral's name for it is "long non-coding RNA (PVUL_LNC000964)". Lineage: Eukaryota; Viridiplantae; Streptophyta; Magnoliopsida; Fabales; Fabaceae. The record is from RNAcentral.